CAAUGGACAUGAAUCUGAACAAGCUGUGGGAGAGUGGAGGACAGAGGAGCCUGGCGUGCUGCAGUCCACGGGGUCACAAAGAGUCGGAUUUGACUUUGCGACUGAACAACAACAAAAUUCUAGUUCCAAAAUCACCGUUUCCUGGUUGUGUGACUUGGAGCAAGUGCCUGUAUCUCGCUGUGUCUGUUUCCCCAUCUGUCACAAGAGGAUAAUAUUCUUUAUAGUGUUUUGUAAAGUUUUAACAGGUUAAUUUGUGCAGGGUGAUUGUAGAUAGAGACUUCUGUACGAAGCAGUUAUUUUCUUCCAGAAUUUUUGUUCUGUGUGUAUUGUUUCUUCAAUAUAGCAAAUGUCUGUUUGAUGUGCACUGCCUCCCUUUCUUCCUUAACAGUGGGACCUCUCUAUUGCUAGGGGCAAGUGGCCUUACUAAAACUACAUUUCCCAGCUUCUUUUGCAGCUAGGGAUGACCAAUAAGAUAUAAACAGAGAUCGUGGGUGAGGUUUCCAGGAAGACUUAAAGUGGGCUGACUCAGCUUUGAGUCACCUCCCCUUUUGCCUCCAACUCCCAUUUCUUAGUGCUUCCUGCCUAGAACUCAGAUGUGAUGGCUGGAGCUUCAAGGACCACUUUGAACACGAGGCAAACGUUGAAGCCUGGGAGACACACGCUGAGAGUGGUGAAACCAAAAGAUAAAAGACAUCUGGGUUCUUGAUGGUAACGCAGCAGCCACACCAAUCCUUGCCUGCCUCACUCUGGACUUGUUUACAUGAUUGGAAAAUAAAUCUGUGCUUAUUGAGGUCCCUGACAUUUUGGCAUCCCAUUACCAGCAGCUGAAUCUAUUUCUAACUGAUACGUUUGCCAAAACGGAAUCAACCUGUGUGGGCUGUUUGUGACCUGCAUUUCUUAGUGAUGCCCCAGUGCUUCCUUGUCUGAGAAUGUUUUAUUGCACAUGAGCUCAAAACAGGAGGUUGCUCUUUGCUUAGAAAGAAUAAUUUCUGUGCAAUGUGGUGGAUUCCCUGUGGUCUUGGAUAGGUCUUGUGACCCAGCCAAUGUUUAGGUAGGCAUGGACUUAAUUGUUCUCCAGUUUUAGGUGCCACAGCGGCAAGUUUGACCCUACCAAGACACGCAAAGUGGGAGAUGGUUGUGUCAAUAUAGCGUUGGUUGAUUUUCCCAAAGAAAUGGGAGAUCCAGAUUUUUAUGUGGAACCAUUUUCUCUCUUAACAGCUUUAUUGGUUUAUAACUGAAAUAGAAUAAACUGCACUUUCCUAAAUUGUGGGGCUUCUUAAGUGGUUCAGUGGUAAAGAAUCCCUGCUAAUGCCAGAGACAGGGGUUCAAUCCCUGAGACAGGAAGAUCCCCUGGAGAAGGAAAUGGCAACCCACUCCAGUAUUCUUGCCUGGGAAAUCCUAUGGACAGAGGAGCCUGGUGGGGCUACUGUCCAUGGGGUCACAAAAAAUGUUGGAUAUGACUUAGCGACUGAAUAGCAGACAAUGGGGUGGCAGGGUUUCUUUUGAUUCGUUUCAGUUGUGGAAGUAACGCACGAAGGAAUCGGUCAGGAACGUGUUCUCCCAGCCUCAGGUGCCUCCCCUGAGACUCUGAACCUCAGUGCCUGUUCGGACAGGCUUGAAUCAGGACCUGGGAAUGGACAGAGUCUCUUCUGCUGAACCCAGUGAGCUCACACCCGGCUCCACACGGUCCUACAUGAGCCACCAGGAGGCCCUCUGUUUGGAAACGGAGACGGCCAGCCCCCCGGCUGCAGCUCACAGAGCCUGCUGGCAGCUGCGCUGGGGCCAGACACCCCACACCACCCCAAACAACCCCUCUGCCCCGAGCGGCGCCCCUGCCUGCCCCACUGAGCCCAUGGUCUGCCAAGGCCAAAAGGCACUUCAGCCAGCCCGCCCGGGGCCAGCCCGGCUGGGGUCUCUGAGAGGCGCUGAGAUCCUGGGGCAGGAACCGGUCUGUCUUGUGGAUCCUGGGCUGCCAGUGUUUAGAACGGCAUCUUGUACUUGCUUCAUUAUUGCUUACGUUUCACCGUGCAGAGUCCUUUUUACCACCCCCACGGAUGUUUCCAGAGCCUCACAUGAAUGGAACGAAAGGGAGACUCUGAGAUGGGAGGGCAGGGUGUCCCCCUGGGCCCUGACAGCUGGAAACACAGCUGGAAAACACAGCUAGACAGUCCACUAUUUUGCCACAACCUCUCAGCUCGAUGAGUCCCUCUUCUCUGGGAGGUGUUUGCUAAACACGCAGAUUCUAGGGUCCUUCGCCCAAGCUCCCACUUUGGGUGCUUUGGAGCAUCCAGAAGUCUGCAAUUGUGAUGGAUUCUGAGCUUAUCCCUGGGUUACAGUCACUGCCACCUUCCUAGACAACUGGAUCCUACAGGUCAGCAGCCCAGAGACUGUGCGAACCUGUGUGGAUACACGUGUAUGUUGGGAGGAUGCGAAAGGACUGGAAGCAACCAGGAUGUCCAUUAGUGGGGGGGGCAAGUUCGCUGGGGCUGGUCUACUCCCUGGAGGACAUAGCAGGCGUUAGAAAUAAGGAAGAAGGCUUUGAUAAGACAAGAUCUCCCAGAUACGGCUAAGUGAAAAAGCAGGUGCAGAACAGUGUCUAUUGUUCCACCACUUGUGUUAAAACAUUCAUAAAAGAAGAGACAUGUGGAUAUACCUGGAUGAUUCUGGAAGGACACCCAAGAAACUGGGACCGGGGUGACCUCUGGGGAAGGAGACCCGGGGUCCAGGAGCAAGAGGGGUACCUUUGUUUAUAUCUGCAUCCCUUCCUGGGUCCUGGGUUCAAAGUCUGACCCUAUUCAGCUGUGUGGCCCUAAGCCCUCUCUGAGUCUCAGUUUCCCCCAACGUGCUUCUAGGGUUGUAAGUUUCCAGCCCUAGCCUGGGCUGGCUGGAGGGCCCGGGCGAGCUGAUCCUGCCUCCCCUUCUGUUUUCCAGGACGCUCAGGGUCAGGCCCCACUUGGCGCAAGGAGGGUGGGUCCCUGGGGAGGGGGUGGCUCCGCAGGGCGGAGCUGAGCUGGAAAAACUGGCAGGGCUGGAGCAGUCAGUGCAGAUAGGUCUUCACUCCUCUGCCUGGGGCCUCUCAGCGUCACUCACUCCCACCCUGCGCCCCCGAGGGGCUGGGACCCGAAGGGCUUCCCUUGACCUGACCCGGGGCUUCGGGCUGGAGACCAGCGGGGAAGGGGAGAGUGCCUGGGCUUUAAGCUGGGGCUAGAGGGCAAGGAGACGGGGAGAGACAGAGAGAGAGAGGACAGAGAGCAGGAGAGAGACACACACACGGGCGCGUGUGUAUGCGCGCGCGCGCACACACACACACACACACAGCCAGGUGCAGCUGAGAGAGGUGAAGAACCAGAGACAGCAGGAGAGACACAGUGGGGAUCUUGGGGCAGGAGUGGGGGCGGCCAGGAGCCUGGGGCCACCCGAGAGGAAGAGCUGAGGUCCAGAGAGGGGAAGUGACUUGCUCAAGGUCCCCGGCCAAGUGGACAAGCUGAGAUUGGAACUUCGUGAUCCAGAGGCCAGAGCUCGCUGCCAGCCCUUCGUGGUGCCAUGAUGGCUCAGCCCUGGAUGGCCUGUUGGAGCGUCAGUCCCUGUGGGUCAAGGAGAUGCCCGUGGCUUGGUCCCGUGUCCCUCUGGCCUGGCAUUAGCCGUAUCACCCGUUGGGAUGGUUGCAAAAUCCCCCUGGCUUUAGCAGUCGAUAAAGAGUGCCCAUUGCAAAACUCA
This is an RNA transcript of Bubalus bubalis (water buffalo), 3717 nucleotides long. RefSeq lists it as uncharacterized. Lineage: Eukaryota; Metazoa; Chordata; Mammalia; Artiodactyla; Bovidae. The transcript has 4 exons. The record is from RefSeq and is a predicted model, not a curated record.